AAGAAAGAAUUGACAGAAGAAGAGGUAAUUACAAACAACAGAAACAACAACAAGGCAGUUCUUGAAGUCCUUUCAUUUCAUCGUGCAUGCCAUGGCUACGCUGUACUUACCAACUACCGUUUACCUUUUACCUUUUUUUCUUCUCAUCUUCUUUUCUUCCUUUCGUUUUUUUCAGAUAAUGAAGAAGGCUGAGCUGAAUGAGGAGAGAA
Molecule: non-coding RNA, 209 nt
Filed under: Chloropicon mariensis
Lineage: Eukaryota; Viridiplantae; Chlorophyta; Chloropicophyceae; Chloropicales; Chloropicaceae
Source: RNAcentral